GACGAACGCUGGCGGCGUGCUUAACACAUGCAAGUCGAACGGAAAGGCCCUGCUUUUGUGGGGUGCUCGAGUGGCGAACGGGUGAGUAACACGUGAGUAACCUGCCCUUGACUUUGGGAUAACUUCAGGAAACUGGGGCUAAUACCGGAUAGGAGCUCCUGCUGCAUGGUGGGGGUUGGAAAGUUUCGGCGGUUGGGGAUGGACUCGCGGCUUAUCAGCUUGUUGGUGGGGUAGUGGCUUACCAAGGCUUUGACGGGUAGCCGGCCUGAGAGGGUGACCGGCCACAUGGGGACUGAGAUACGGCCCAGACUCCCCCGGGGGGGAGGGGUGGGGAAUAUUGCCAAAGGGGCGGAGGCCUGAUGCAGCAACGCCGCGUGGGGGAUGACGGCCUUCGGGUUGUAAACCGCUUUCGCCUGUGACGAAGCGUGAGUGGCGGUAAUGGGUAAAGAAGCACCGGCUAACUACGU
Molecule: ribosomal RNA, 467 nt
Filed under: uncultured bacterium
Lineage: Bacteria
Description: partial 16S ribosomal RNA
Rfam family: Bacterial small subunit ribosomal RNA
Source: RNAcentral